RNAcentral lists this ribosomal RNA (448 nucleotides) under uncultured bacterium. RNAcentral describes it as "bacterial SSU rRNA". It matches the Rfam family "Bacterial small subunit ribosomal RNA", at positions 29 to 521 of the family's 1533-position model. The record is from RNAcentral.
AGCGAACGCUGGCGGCAGGCCUAACACAUGCAAGUCGAGCGCCCGUAGCAAUACGGGAGCGGCAGACGGGAGAGUAACACGUGGGAACGUACCCUUUGGUUCGGAACAACACAGGGAAACUUGUGCUAAUACCGGAUAAGCCCUUACGGGGAAAGAUUUAUCGCCAAAGGAUCGGCCCGCGUCUGAUUAGCUAGUUGGUGAGGUAACGGCUCACCAAGGCGACGAUCAGUAGCUGGUCUGAGAGGAUGAUCAGCCUCAUUGGGACUGAGACACGGCCCAAACUCCUACGGGAGGCAGCAGUGGGGAAUAUUGGACAAUGGGCGCAAGCCUGAUCCAGCCAUGCCGCGUGGGUGAUGAAGGCCCUAGGGUUGUAAAGCCCUUUCGGCGGGAAGAUAAUGACGGUACCCGCAGAAGAAGCCCCGGCUAACUUCGUGCCAGCAGCCGCAGU